Molecule: long non-coding RNA, 1264 nt
Organism: Canis lupus familiaris (dog)
Lineage: Eukaryota; Metazoa; Chordata; Mammalia; Carnivora; Canidae
Exons: 7
Source: RefSeq, a predicted model, not a curated record
CCCACUCAUCAUUAAAACCUGGGGAGAAAUCACACAGGCCAAAUUAGCAUAGGCUGUCAUAUGAAUGAUUGACUCACCAGCAUCACCUGAUAUGGCAGUAGCUGAGUAUAAAAAAGACAUUUUUUGAAAUACCCAAAUGGCAUUACCUCCUCCUUGUACUUCACCUUCACCAGAAAGGAUCCAAGUAAAUUAUUUCAACAGACUGAAAGGUCAAAUGCAGAUAAGUGAACAAGAAGCAAAAACAAUUUUCAUGUUUUGUAAACAUGCCAAAAUGCCUUCAGUGAACACUGGACCUCUGCAUAGACCCUAUUUCCUUUUGCAACUCCAUUUGUAUUUAGCACAUGAAGAUCAUCUACACCAUUCUAUCCAAUACUAGAACAGUGUGGGAUGCAAGGGAAAUUUCUAAGAUGACCAUGCUACUCUGGAUCUUCCUCAUUCCCAGAUAGUCUCCACAUCCAGCAUGGAGCCCAAAGUGGGGCUUGAACCCAUGACCCUGCGAUUAAGACCUGAGCUGAGAUCAAGAGUCAGAUGCCUAACUGAAUCAGCUACUCACGCACCCCUCAUCAGAGCUGAAUCUUAUGCCCCACCUAGGUCAUGUGUGAUCAGAAAGACACGAACUUUUCAUAUGGACUCAAUUGUUGAGCAGAGAAUGUGUCUGAAAGCUCUAAAGAAUUGCAUUUGGGCUUGUCUGGAACCUUGAAGCAGGACUAUGACAACAAUGAAUACUGGGACCGUUUCACAAUGCAGAAAGUAUCUACAUGUAGAGUAGAUACUCUGAACUUCUGGAUCUUGGAGUUUUUUUUCUAAUAGGCGUUAUGGCAGCUUUUGGAAGAAACUGCCCUAAAUGAAAAAAGAAAAGAGAGACUUGGAAACCUCCAGAAUGCCCCCAAAAGACUUCCUUUGCAUAGAAUCGUUCAUCAAUUUCAACAGUAACAGAAAGUAAUGGAAACGUGAUCUGAAUGGGCAGCGGAAACCUGAGUAGUAACUUAAAACUCCAUUGAAGUUGUUCAUCAGAUAUAGGACCCAGCUUGUUCUUUGUAAAAUCAAUAUUUAAGUGUUUUGGACUUUUUUUUUUGCCAGAAUUAAAACAUAUCUUCCCAAAGGAAUGGUGGUGGUAAAAUAGAAGUCCUAUGUUAAGAGCACUGGACUUUCAUCGGGCAAUUUGUGGCAUGAGUUUUUAUAAACGCUACAAAAUAAGACCCGAUGUAUUCACAAAUAUGCAGAUCUUUACUUAGAACUGUUUGGGAAACUAUUCUAUCACAAA